Molecule: long non-coding RNA, 342 nt
Organism: Stegodyphus dumicola
Lineage: Eukaryota; Metazoa; Arthropoda; Arachnida; Araneae; Eresidae
Source: RefSeq, a predicted model, not a curated record
GAGAAGUGGGGACGCGAGGGGCAGAGAAUAAUCUUCCGCCGUCCAGCUGCGCCAAACGACACUUCAACAGAGUAGUUUGUGUGUGUGUGGAGUAGAGUUGCAUUUCUGUCUGUUGUAUAUUCUUUCGUGCAGCCGGUUUGGGGAUAUUGCGUGAUAAUGAUUUAUAAAGAUGUACUGAAAUGACACCAACUUUUUUAUACGAACUAGGAACUGAUUGGCGUUUAAAAUUCAGCGUCGGAUUCAUGUUCGUUCACUUUUGAUCUACGAAAGAUCCCCAAAAUUGUACGAUAAUGUUGAUAUAAAAUGCAUGUUGAUUUGAUUUCUGGUCUUUAGCAUCUAAUG